UCUCCGUAGGUGAACCUGCGGAGGGAUCAUUAGAGAAUAUAGCGCCUACCUGCUAAGUGCGUGACCUCCUCUUUCAACUCUGUGGAUUUUUUGGCGAGCGGACGAGACGAAGCCCGGCAAGUUGCAGCCGCUCGCCUCUGCCCGCCCAUUUUACCCACUAGUUAAAGUAUGUAACGAAAUAUCGACGCAAAAAAAACUAUAAACAACGGCUACCUUGCCUCUCGCAUCGAUGACGAACGAAGACGCUCGAAAGAGCAAGAGCAUAAACCCGAAUC
This 275-nucleotide unclassified non-coding RNA is filed under the name plant metagenome. RNAcentral's name for it is "partial contains small subunit ribosomal RNA, internal transcribed spacer 1, and 5.8S ribosomal RNA". The record is from RNAcentral.